UCACUCAGUCCUUGCCAGAGCGGCGGAGUGUGUGGGCGCGCGGGUGCAUUCGCUCCAGUGCUAUCCGUGGAGAGAGAGAGAGAGAGAGAGAGAGAGAGAGAGAGAGAGAGAGAGAGAGAGAGAGAGAGAGAGAGAGAGAGAGAGAGAGAGAGGGAGGGAGAGAAAGAGAGAGAGAGACAGGCCCGAGCCGAAGGCUUCCUCAACAAUAAGUAACUUUUCUUCGGGUGAUCUUUUAUGCUAAUGGUCUCGCUGAACAGUCUUCUCUUAUUAGGUCCUUAGCCGAACGAACUUUUGAAUCUUGUAUUCUUGACUUUAUCAUGCGAACUUGAUAACUUGGAUCUGUCUUAAAACCCCUAAUAAAAGGAAAUAAAUGAGAGUUUAAACUAAAACUUGCGAUGUAAACAAAAUAUCGACCUAAACAUAAAACACAAACCUUUUAAGACCACGGUGAUAGAAGAUAAGAGACAGAUACAAACACACCAAAACAGAAAAAGGUUACAAAGAAAAAUAAUAAUAACAAGACGAAAAAAACAACAGGAUGGGAACAAGUGUGAAAGACAAGUGACGUCAUGACACAGGUGGACCAUCUUCAGGGAUUGGCGAAUCUCCAUCAAUGACUGGAUAAGUGAUGAGUACCGCCGGGGGGAGCGGCAGGGGGGGCACCGUCCCCCCCAAGCGCCCCCCCUCCACCUCGCAAUCUCCCCCCCACGCUCCCCAUGGAGGUCCGCGGGGGAAGGGGGUUGGCCAGUCCCAACCCCUGCCCAGAGGGGUUGGGAGGGGGGUGGCCCUCGGCCAGGCUUCCGCGCAGAGUAAAAGGU
This 818-nucleotide long non-coding RNA is filed under the name Penaeus japonicus. RNAcentral's name for it is "uncharacterized LOC122249165". Lineage: Eukaryota; Metazoa; Arthropoda; Malacostraca; Decapoda; Penaeidae. The record is from RNAcentral.